Molecule: ribosomal RNA, 797 nt
Filed under: uncultured bacterium
Lineage: Bacteria
Description: bacterial SSU rRNA
Rfam family: Bacterial small subunit ribosomal RNA
Source: RNAcentral
UCAUGGCUCAGGACGAACGCUGGCGGCAUGCCUAAUACAUGCAAGUCGAGCGAACAGAUGAAGUGCUUGCACUUCUGACGUUAGCGGCGAACGGGUGAGUAACACGUAAGGAAUCUACCUAUAAGCGGGGGAUAACAUUCGGAAACGGGUGCUAAUACCGCAUAAUAUCUUCUUCCGCAUGGAAGAAGAUUGAAAGACGGCUCUGCUGUCACUUAUAGAUGACCUUGCGGUGCAUUAGUUAGUUGGUGGGGUAAUGGCCUACCAAGACGAUGAUGCAUAGCCGACCUGAGAGGGUGAUCGGCCACAUUGGGACUGAGACACGGCCCAAACUCCUACGGGAGGCAGCAGUAGGGAAUCUUCCGCAAUGGGCGAAAGCCUGACGGAGCAAUGCCGCGUGAGUGAAGAAGGCCUUCGGGUCGUAAAACUCUGUUAUAAGAGAAGAACAAAUUGUAGAGUAACUGCUACAGUCUUGACGGUAUCUUAUCAGAAAGCCACGGCUAACUACGUGCCAGCAGCCGCGGUAAUACGUAGGUGGCAAGCGUUGUCCGGAUUUAUUGGGCGUAAAGGGAGCGCAGGUGGUUUCUUAAGUCUGAUGUGAAAGCCCACGGCUUAACCGUGGAGGGUCAUUGGAAACUGGGAAACUUGAGUACAGAAGAGGAAUGUGGAACUCCAUGUGUAGCGGUGGAAUGCGUAGAUAUAUGGAAGAACACCAGUGGCGAAGGCGACAUUCUGGUCUGUUACUGACACUGAGGCUCGAAAGCGUGGGGAGCAAACAGGAUUAGAUACCCUGGUAGUCC